UGCUGCCCCCCCUUCUCCCCUAUCCAUGGGUUGGAAUGAGGGUCGCCCCUGUCUCCCCAGCAACACUCCUGAGGCUCAGCAGGGCCCGGAGUCCCUGUCCCCGCAGUGACUGAAUUUCUCUGAUCCCCAACUCCAAUAUAGAUCGGCUUCCCCAGCAGCUCUGGUCUCUUUAAUCUUGUUGCACUAAGUUUUAGUUAUCCAAAGAAGAAACUAGUGCACGCACGUGUGUGUGUGUGUGUGUGUGUGUAUGGACACGUACGUGUCCGUGUGUGUGUAUUUACCAUUAUUACUGCUGUGCCACGAAGGGGACCCGGGCCUGCUGCAUGUGAGGCCAGCACUCUGCUUACUGAGCCGCAUCCCCAGCCCUACACAAGUAUGUUUUUGCCACACAUAAAAAAAUCAAAUUUUAACAAAGCCUUCCUUGGCCACCACGACACCGAGAUGACCUCAUGGAGUGAAACCUCAUUGUCAUUACUUGGGUAUAUCCUCGAGAUCUUUUUCUGUGCACUGACACGCAUGACCUAAAGGAGUAGUGUUCCUGUGUGUGUGUGUGUGUGUGUGUGGACAAAUGGUUUCAUGUCAUCCAGGUUAUUCUGAAAAUUGCUUUUCUUACUUAGCAUUCCCUUUCCAUGGCAAGAGAAUCUAACUAGGGUUUUGCGUAAAGAGCAACCAUGAUUAGUUUCUUUACUGAUACAAGCUGGUUUUGGAGUGACUCAUCAUUCAGCCGUUCCCCUCCUGCUGGACAUGUAGGUUAGUUGUGAUUUUUUCCGAGCGCCUCCUUGGACAUGUCUGGAGUUGCUACUGCUUGGUUUCAGGAGCCAGUUACAGUUUUUAAAAUAUUGUGCAAUAUUUAAAAUUUGUCACCUGAGAGUUUCCCCAGAGCCAAACGCCUUCCGUGGGUCCCCGUGACUCCUGGAGGCCCCUUUAGAGCCAGAGAAGCUCUGCUGUCCCCACUGCUUGCCCCUCCCCCGCCCCUCCCUACGAGGUGGGAAACAGUGGCCCUGGAGCCCUCUCUCCCCCACUCUGGGGUUUUCUGUCCUUGCUUAAAGCCACUGUUCCGGGGGAGGGGGACCCUGGAAUCAGAAGGCCUUGGUCCAAUCCUGGCUCAGCUGCUCCCUGACUGUGUGUCUGGGAAAGUGACACGACCUCUCUGUGGCGUGGAGCCCUGUCCCAGGGCUGCCGUGGGAGGCAGCACCCAUAUAGCACCCAGUGCCGGGCCCCCUCCCAGGCUCUCUUCUCUGUACCACCCGUCCCCACCUCACUGGGACAGUCCGUUGGCCGCCUCUUGGCCCAGGGCUUUGUGACAGCUUCGUCCUGCUGUCCCCUGGCAUCCCACAGGAGGCUGCUGCCCAGAAUGCGGUGGGCGAUCGGAUUUCCACCCUGCUUGGCCCUGACGGGUCUGGCCCGGGGCCCACGCGGAGGGAAAGAGGUCAUCCCAACCGUUUGCUCAGGCGAGGUGGCCAGGAGCCUGGUCACGUAACCCCACACCGGGAAGGUGGACCGGCUCUCCAUGGGCCCUUGUGGCUGUGGAUCUGAUCUCCCUUGGCCUGCAGGAUGGGCAGGAGAAGACAGCAGCCUGGGGUCAGCCUCUCCCGGAGCCGGGGUGUCCCUGGGCCGCUCGGGUGGCCCAGCUGUGGGUCUGCCGCUCGGCCUCGGGGCCACGGCUGCAGCUGGUUACUUACUUAAAGCUGCAGUUCAGGAGCUUUUUUGUUUUCGUGGCCAAAAUUCCCUGCCGGAGCGACUCAGAGCAGGGAAGGUUAUUUGGGUCGUGUGUCAGAGGUCUCCGUCCCUAGAUGGCCAGUCCAUGGCUGGAGCCCCAGGUGAGGCAGCCUACAGGAAAGGAAACAGGGGUUCAGAGGGGGGCCACGGGAAGACGCACCCCCCAGCCCUGGUGACCCACCUCCGCCCGCCCCGCCUCCCUACAUCCCCCCGGGUUGGUGGGUCCCGGCUGGUUCCGCAAGGACAGCUCCGCCACUCCAGACUCUUCACCUCUGGACGCACCCCUGCCAGCCCAGAAGCUUUCGGGGGACACUGCGUAUCCAAUCCACCCUACUCGUCCCCCCGGGUUCCAGGACACCGUCCGCCUUGGUCAAGGAGCGCCUCGCCGCCCCUGUGACACAGGCAGGGGCAGAGUCUGAGGUCUAGGAGGUGGACAGACUCCCCAGGCCACACAGGUAGCCGCUGGCAGGCUGGGAAAGGCCCCUGCCAUCUGGCUCCCCGAGUGCUGGUCUUGGCAGAGGCGGCUGGCC
This 2249-nucleotide long non-coding RNA is filed under the name Marmota monax (woodchuck). Lineage: Eukaryota; Metazoa; Chordata; Mammalia; Rodentia; Sciuridae. The record is from RNAcentral.